UGAACCAAACUAUAGCUUAGUGUAAUUUUGACACUUUGUACAUACCAGUAGCAGUCCGUUUAUUUCACGGCGAAACAGAUCGAGAAGAAUCACUGCGCGAUGGCAAGCAAACGGAAAGCCGACGCCGCUGCUUCACGCUUCCAACAACCAAAGCAACCAAAGCAGGGGGAGCCGGUAUGCUUUCUGUUUGGAUUCGAAUUUUGCUAUGAUUUUUGCGAUUUUAGGGCUAAAUUGCAUGCUUAUUUCGAUUGAUUGUGAAUGAGGAAUCGUUUAGCAACCAAUGCUGGGUAUGCUUCUGUUUGGAUUCGAAUUUUGCGAUGAUUUUCGGGAUAAAUUGCAUGCGUUUUUCGAUUGAUUGUGAAGGAGGAAUCCUUUAGCAAAGGGGAAAAACCAAUGCUGACUGGCAUGCAAAAGAACAAGGAGUUGUUUAGCGUUGGGGACCCUGUCGAGGUUAGAUACGACGCUCCUUAUCUCGAAGGAGCUUGGUUUAGUGCCAACAUUGUGGAGGCAAGGGGGCAGGAGAAGUUCACUGUUCAGUUCUGGGACCUAUUUGAGGAGGAUGACGUGGUCCAGCCUCAUAGAGAGGAGAUUGAUACCCAACACAUAAGGCACCCUCCGGGACCUGGUGUUCUUCCUAAAGAACUUGAUUUAACUGACACCGUUGAUGUUUUUUACAAUGAUGCCUGGCGGGUUGCUUCAAUUAUUAAGCUUCCAAACAAGUCCAAGUCCAAGUCCAAGCCCAAGCUCGAGCACAGAUAUGAAGUUAACUUGUGGAGCACCCAUCAGCCAUUGGAGGUUGAACACUCUGAUUUGAGGCCACAUCACCACUAAGGGGAAAUCGAGCAGCAAGUGACACGGGUGCAGAACUGGCAACGGAAAAGAAAAAGAAAAUGGUGCAUCCAUCAUCUAUUUUAAUUUUGGGUUGAUGGUUAUAUUAGUCCCUGUGUUUGUAAAAGUGUUUGAUUUUGGUCCCUUAACUAAAAAAUGAUGAUUAGUGGCGGUUUUUUGUAUAGUUACUGGCGGUUUUUUGACAGAGGGACCAAAAUCAAACAUUUUUACAAAUACAGGGACUAAUAUGACCUUUAACCCUUUAAUUUAUACCUAGUCAAACUUGUAUUUUAAUUUGCAUUUCUCUCCUAUGUUGUUGUGGGGAAUUCUGCGGUAGUAAUAGAAUCUCUUAAUUUAUGUGAAUUAUAAAUUAUAAAUCUGUUUUUUUGUAUCUUGUAGUGUCUUUUUGGAUGUGUGGAUGAAAAUUUUUAUAUUGUGUCUAUUAGUUCA
Lotus japonicus is the source of this 1278-nucleotide long non-coding RNA. RefSeq lists it as uncharacterized. The record is from RefSeq and is a predicted model, not a curated record. Lineage: Eukaryota; Viridiplantae; Streptophyta; Magnoliopsida; Fabales; Fabaceae. The transcript is spliced from 3 exons.